GGAGAUUGAAAUUAGCAGGCUUGAAACUUGUGGUACCUGUGAUGGAUCAGGUGCAAAACCUGGGACUAAACCGUCGACCUGUAAUACUUGUGGUGGGCAAGGGCAGGUUGUGUCCUCAGCAAGGACCCCACUGGGUGUUUUCCAGCAGGUGACAACAUGCUCUUCUUGUGGGGGGACUGGAGAGAUUUCUACUCCUUGCGGCACCUGCAACGGUGAUGGCCGAGUGAGGAAGUCAAAACGCAUUAGCUUGAAAGUUCCACCUGGUGUAGAUUCCGGUAGCCGUUUAAGGGUUCGUUCAGAAGGU
Molecule: long non-coding RNA, 304 nt
Filed under: Solanum lycopersicum (tomato)
Lineage: Eukaryota; Viridiplantae; Streptophyta; Magnoliopsida; Solanales; Solanaceae
Description: long non-coding RNA (SLYC_LNC001103)
Source: RNAcentral